Nicotiana tabacum (common tobacco) is the source of this 178-nucleotide non-coding RNA. The record is from RefSeq and is a predicted model, not a curated record. Lineage: Eukaryota; Viridiplantae; Streptophyta; Magnoliopsida; Solanales; Solanaceae.
UAAAAAGAUAUAAAGAGCAUCAUAUCAUAGCAAUACAAGAAAGAUGCAACGCCAGUGGAUAGCGGCAAGAGACCUUACAAUUACAUGGGUGAACAAUCCUCAGUUCUGGACAUGGAAAACUGUUGAUCCUAAUAUUGAAGUGGCGGAGCUUCGUAGCGUAAAUUGGCUUGACAUUUAU